GUUUCAUAGGAUCUUAAAUCUAGAUCUUGAAGGGACCUCAGAGACCAUCUAGUCUGAUCUUCACAUUUUACAAAUAAGGAAGCUGAGGACCAAGGAGAGAAGUGACUUGCCCAAGGUCUCACUGAUUCUCUCCUCUCUCCUUGGAGCAUGUGCAAAUAUACUCUGCUUUCAACUCUAUAUGACUCAUUAAUGUAUUGAAUCUUCCUGAAAGGUCGCUGAACAAGAAAUGUCAAUGGUGCAGGGUACUACACCCAGAAAAGAAAAAUUUGGCUCUUGCCUGACAGGUCUCUGGAAGAUAGCUUUUGAGAAUAUGAGAUGUGAUGCCAAUCAGAGUUGGAAGAAGGAAGGGGCUUUCCUCUCCUUGGCAUAAAGGGGAGACAGAGACCAUUGAACCACCGCUCCUGAUAUGAAGCAUGGACUCAGUUAGCUGGGCUUGGAUCAGAGGUUCCCAGAUAUUUUGCUUCUUCUUUUGUUACUCCUUUGCUCUAGCAUUGACCUUGUAAAGAUAGAAUGAUCUGGACCCAUUUAGCACUAACAGGUUUGGGUUUGUGAUAAGGAAAGCAUUGGCAUAAGAAGUGUUGGCAUUAGAGCAGGAGGCUGUCCAAAAGAAAAUGCCACUUGGCUGUUUGACCAGACAAUUCCAGUGCAGAGGUGAAAUCUAAAAGUGCUACUUAAUAGCCUUGGAAAUACUACUAUGUUUAAAUGAGUCUUAAGUAUUCACCUCUGAACUGAAGGUACUAGUAAUAAUAAGUUGGUGUAUUCUCUUUUAACAAAUCUAUGAUGCUUUAUUUAGCUAAGAUUUCCUUUUCUGGGUGGGAACAAACUGCCUAUCCAUACUUCAAUCAUGUUUGUACUUUUGGUACCAUUUUUACUCUCCUCUCCUCCUUGCUAGAGAAAACCUUAGCAUGUGAGGCCAUAACCACAACAACUUCAUAGCCAACAACCUUCCCUAGAGUUGCCAGGUUUGAGUGAAUGUGAAAUUGGAGUCUUCUUCCCCUGUAGAAAAGUCAGGCAACCCCAGAGCAGUGAGUGCAAUACACAAUUGCAAGGCUGGGUAUAGAGCUUUAAAGUAUCCUUAAUCCCUAUGAGUCCUAGUAGUGAUUACCUCUAUCCUCUAAGUUAGAUUAAUACAAAUGUUUUGAGAUAUUAAUUUUCCUGUGAGACCACUUUAGCCUUGUCCCACAUGUUUUGGUAUGUUAAUUCAUUGUUAUAAUUUCCUCUAAUACAAUUUUAAGUUUAUUGUUUCUAUGAUUUUUUUUGAUCAGUUCAUUAUUUAGGAUAUCAUUGUUUAGUCUACAUGUUAGUCUGCACUUUUGGUUCUUAUUUCUUUUAUUAAUUAUUAUUUUUAAUACACUAUAGUCUAUAAAGAGACAGCUUUCUCCAUUUGUGCAUGUGUUCAUAUGUUUUUGUUCCUUAGCAUGUAGUCAAUUAACAGGUCUAAAUUAUACUAAUCUAAUUUGGGGUUUUUCAGUUCCAACGUAGUCUCUACUGGACAUGUGAAACUGAAGAUAAAUAGAGUUCAAUGAAGUUUUUGAAUUUUUAAAUAAGUAGUCAUAUUUCAUUUUAUCAGGUUUUGAGAUCUUUAUUUCUAAUGUAAUUUGAUUUCAAAAUGCCUAAAACUUUGAAUCUCUGUGGAGAUUAUUUCUCAAGUUUAAAUAUGAAUUAAAGCUGUCAGCAUCCAG
This is a long non-coding RNA of Phascolarctos cinereus (koala), 1682 nucleotides long. RefSeq lists it as uncharacterized. NCBI's taxonomy places the organism in Eukaryota, Metazoa, Chordata, Mammalia, Diprotodontia, Phascolarctidae. The record is from RefSeq and is a predicted model, not a curated record.